GCGCCCGUAGCUCAGCUGGAUAGAGCGCCGGACUUCGAAUCCGUAGGUCGCAGGUUCGACUCCUGCCGGGCGCA
Molecule: transfer RNA, 74 nt
Filed under: Spirochaetaceae bacterium
Lineage: Bacteria; Pseudomonadati; Spirochaetota; Spirochaetia; Spirochaetales; Spirochaetaceae
Description: tRNA-Arg
Rfam family: tRNA
About the family: Transfer RNA (tRNA) molecules are approximately 80 nucleotides in length. Their secondary structure includes four short double-helical elements and three loops (D, anti-codon, and T loops).
Source: RNAcentral